AUGAUACGCGAAGAACCUUUACCAGGUCUUGACAUCCCUUGCAAAGCUAUGGAGACAUAGUGGAGGUUAUCAAGGAGACAGGUGGUGCAUGGUUGUCGUCAGCUCGUGUCGUGAGAUGUUGGGUUAAGUCCCGCAACGAGCGCAACCCUUAUUGCUAGUUACCAUCAUUAAGUUGGGGACUCUAGCGAGACUGCCAGUGAUAAACUGGAGGAAGUGGGGAUGACGUCAAAUCAUCAUGCCCCUUAUGACCUGGGCUACAAACGUGAUACAAUGGCUGAAACAAAGGGCAGCGAAGCAGUGAUGUGGAGCGAAACCCAAAAAAGCAGUCUCAGUUCGGAUUGAAGUCUGCAACUCGACUUCAUGAAGUUGGAAUCGCUAGUAAUCGUAGAUCAGAACGCUACGGUGAAUACGUUCUCGGGGUUU
This 423-nucleotide ribosomal RNA is filed under the name uncultured Acholeplasma sp. Its description in RNAcentral is "bacterial SSU rRNA". It matches the Rfam family "Bacterial small subunit ribosomal RNA", at positions 954 to 1382 of the family's 1533-position model. The record is from RNAcentral. Lineage: Bacteria; Bacillati; Mycoplasmatota; Mollicutes; Acholeplasmatales; Acholeplasmataceae.